This 449-nucleotide ribosomal RNA is filed under the name uncultured bacterium. RNAcentral's name for it is "bacterial SSU rRNA". It matches the Rfam family "Bacterial small subunit ribosomal RNA", at positions 330 to 793 of the family's 1533-position model. The record is from RNAcentral.
UCCAGACUCCUACGGGAGGCAGCAGUGGGGAAUAUUGGGCAAUGGAGGAAACUCUGACCCAGCAACGCCGCGUGAAUGAUGAAGGUCUUCGGAUUGUAAAGUUCUUUUCUAAGGGAAGAAGAAAGUGACGGUACCUUAGGAAUAAGCCUCGGCUAACUACGUGUCAGCAGCCGCGGUAAUACGUAGGAGGCGAGCGUUAUCCGGAAUGACUGGGCGUAAAGGGUGCGUAGGUGGUUUGGCAAGUUAGUAGCGUAACUCCAAGGCUCAACCUUGGAACUACUACUAAAACUGUUGGACUUGAGUGCAGGAGGGGCAACCGGAAUUCCUAGUGUAGCGGUGGAAUGCGUAGAUAUUAGGAGGAACACCAGUGGCGAAGGCGGGUUGCUAGACUGUAACUGACACUGAGGCACGAAAGCGUGGGGAGCAAACAGGAUUAGAUACCCCAGUAC